GAUGAACGCUGGCGGCGUGCUUAACACAUGCAAGUCGAACGCUAAGGCGUGCUUUCCCAGCCUAGUUAAGGCCGACCGGUUAGUAAACCGUUGGGAACUUGCCCUGUAGUCAGGGAUUACAGACGGAAAAGACUGAUAAAACCUGGUAAAGUCCGCCGGCCUCAUGUCGGGUGUGAUGAAAAGAGAUGCUGCAGGAGAGCCUUGGGGGCUAUUAGCUUGUUGGUGGGGUAACGGCCCAACCAGGCGAUGAGAGGGAGCCCGGCUGAGGGGGGGGACGGCCACAGGGGGAGUGAGAUACGGCACACACGCCUGCGGGAGGCAGGAGUGGGGAAUAUUGGAAAAGGGGGGCGACCCUGGUACAGCAAUUCUGUGUGGACGAUGAAGCUUUUCGGAUUGUAAAGGGCUUUCAGGAGAGAAGAAAAAAAUGACGGUACCUGCAGAAGAAGCGACGGCUAAAUACGUG
Molecule: ribosomal RNA, 463 nt
Filed under: uncultured bacterium
Lineage: Bacteria
Description: partial 16S ribosomal RNA
Rfam family: Bacterial small subunit ribosomal RNA
Source: RNAcentral